CCUACGGGGGGCAGCAGUGAGGAAUAUUGGUCAAUGGGCGCGAGCCUGAACCAGCCAAGUAGCGUGAAGGAUGACUGCCCUAUGGGUUGUAAACUUCUUUUAUAUGGGAAUAAAGUGCAGUAUGUAUACUGCUUUGCAUGUACCUUAUGAAUAAGGAUCGGCUAACUCCGUGCCAGCAGCCGCGGUAAUACGGAGGAUCCGAGCGUUAUCCGGAUUUCUUGGGUUUAAAGGGAGCGUAGAUGGGUUGUUAAGUCAGUUGUGAAAGGUUGCGGCUCAACCGUAAAAUUGCAAUUGAUACUGGCAGCCUUGAGUACAGGUGAGGUCGGCGGAAUUCGUGGUGUAGCGGUGAAAUGCUUAGAUAUCACGAAGAACUCCGAUUGCGAAGGCAGCUUACUAAACUGCCACUGACAUUGAUGCUCGAAAGUGUGGGUAUCAAACAGGAUUAGAUACCCCUGUAGUC
This 460-nucleotide ribosomal RNA is filed under the name uncultured bacterium. RNAcentral's name for it is "partial 16S ribosomal RNA". It matches the Rfam family "Bacterial small subunit ribosomal RNA", at positions 338 to 795 of the family's 1533-position model. The record is from RNAcentral.